Molecule: transfer RNA, 74 nt
Filed under: Pseudoclavibacter sp. RFBA6
Lineage: Bacteria; Bacillati; Actinomycetota; Actinomycetes; Micrococcales; Microbacteriaceae
Description: tRNA-Gln
Rfam family: tRNA
About the family: Transfer RNA (tRNA) molecules are approximately 80 nucleotides in length.
Source: RNAcentral
ACCGCUCUGGGGUAACGGCAUCCCGUCGCGCUCUGGUCGCGAAGAUCUGGGUUCGAGUCCUGGGCGCGGUGCCA